CCCCUCUCAGCAUUGCACCUGGAGAGUUUCCAGUAUUCUACCAGUCUCAGCUAUGGGAGGGAGAGUCAAGUGGAGACGUACCCAUUCCAGUUCUAGCUUGGGCAGUGGUUAGCAAGUAGAAGGCAAUCUGCUACAAGU
Tachyglossus aculeatus (Australian echidna) is the source of this 138-nucleotide small nucleolar RNA. Lineage: Eukaryota; Metazoa; Chordata; Mammalia; Monotremata; Tachyglossidae. The record is from RefSeq and is a predicted model, not a curated record.